This 427-nucleotide ribosomal RNA is filed under the name uncultured bacterium. RNAcentral describes it as "partial 16S ribosomal RNA". It matches the Rfam family "Bacterial small subunit ribosomal RNA", at positions 355 to 774 of the family's 1533-position model. The record is from RNAcentral.
UGGGGAAUAUUGCACAAUGGGCGCAAGCCUGAUGCAGCCAUGCCGCGUGUAUGAAGAAGGCCUUCGGGUUGUAAAGUACUUUCAGCGGGGAGGAAGGCGAUAAGGUUAAUAACCUUGUCGAUUGACGUUACCCGCAGAAGAAGCACCGGCUAACUCCGUGCCAGCAGCCGCGGUAAUACGGAGGGUGCAAGCGUUAAUCGGAAUUACUGGGCGUAAAGCGCACGCAGGCGGUCUGUCAAGCCGGAUGUGAAAUCCCCGGGCUCAACCUGGGAACUGCAUUCGAAACUGGCAGGCUAGAGUCUUGUAGAGGGGGGUAGAAUUCCAGGUGUAGCGGUGAAAUGCGUAGAGAUCUGGAGGAAUACCGGUGGCGAAGGCGGCCCCCUGGACAAAGACUGACGCUCAGGUGCGAAAGCGUGGGGAGCAAACA